Molecule: ribosomal RNA, 484 nt
Filed under: uncultured bacterium
Lineage: Bacteria
Description: partial 16S ribosomal RNA
Rfam family: Bacterial small subunit ribosomal RNA
Source: RNAcentral
AUUGAACGCUGGCGGCAUGCUUUACACAUGCAAGUCGAACGGCAGCGCGGGCUUCGGCCUGGCGGCGAGUGGCGAACGGGUGAGUAAUACAUCGAAACGUGCCCAGUAGUGGGGGAUAGCUCGGCGAAAGCCGGAUUAAUACCGCAUACGACCUGAGGGUGAAAGCGGGGGAUCUUCGGACCUCGCGCUAUUGGAGCGGCCGAUGGCAGAUUAGCUAGUUGGUGGGGUAAAGGCCUACCAAGGCGACGAUCUGUAGCUGGUCUGAGAGGACGACCAGCCACACUGGGACUGAGACACGGCCCAGACUCCUACGGGAGGCAGCAGUGGGGAAUUUUGGACAAAGGGCGAAAGCCUGAUCCAGCAAUGCCGCGUGUGUGAUGAAGGCCUUCGGGUUGUAAAGCACUUUUGGCGGGAACGAAAAGGACUGUGCCAAUACCACGGUUCGAUGACGGUACCCGCAGAAUAAGCACCGGCUAACUACGUA